AACGCGAAGAACCUUACCUGGGCUCGAAGCGCAGUGGACCGGGGUAGAAAUAUCCCUUCCCCUUAAAAGGCUGCUGCGGAGGUGCUGCAUGGCUGUCGUCAGCUCGUGUCGUGAGAUGUUGGGUUAAGUCCCGCAACGAGCGCAACCCUUAUUGCCAGUUGCCAUCAGGUUAUGCUGGGCACUCUGGCGAAACCGCCUCGGAUAACGGGGAGGAAGGUGGGGAUGACGUCAAGUCCUCAUGGCCUUUAUGUCCAGGGCCACACACGUGCUACAAUGGUCGGUACAAACCGUCGCAAACCUGCGAAGGGGAGCUAAUCGGAAAAAGCCGGCCUACAGUUCGGAUUGAAGUCUGCAACUCGACUUCAUGAAGCUGGAAUCGCUAGUAAUCGCGGAUCAGAACGCCGCGGUGAAUACGUUCCCGGGCCUUGUACCACACCGCAUAC
This 443-nucleotide ribosomal RNA is filed under the name uncultured bacterium. Its description in RNAcentral is "bacterial SSU rRNA". It matches the Rfam family "Bacterial small subunit ribosomal RNA", at positions 958 to 1386 of the family's 1533-position model. The record is from RNAcentral.